AUAGUACUCCCUCCAUUCGGAAUUACUUGUCGCGGAAAUGGACGUAUCUAGACAUAUUAUAGUUCUAGAUAUAUCCAUAUCCGAGACAAGUAAUUCCAAAAAGAGAGAGUAUAUA
Triticum aestivum (bread wheat) is the source of this 115-nucleotide non-coding RNA. NCBI's taxonomy places the organism in Eukaryota, Viridiplantae, Streptophyta, Magnoliopsida, Poales, Poaceae. The record is from Rfam.